This 1956-nucleotide unclassified non-coding RNA is filed under the name Centruroides sculpturatus (bark scorpion). Its description in RNAcentral is "wW domain-containing oxidoreductase-like, transcript variant X2". The record is from RNAcentral. Lineage: Eukaryota; Metazoa; Arthropoda; Arachnida; Scorpiones; Buthidae.
UUUACUUUAUUAUUUAUUCAGUUUGUAAUAAAUAAGACAAAUUUGUGACAUCACGUCACACCGGAGUGGUACAGUAAACAAACAAUACAGAAGUUGGCUGUGGUGUCAGUCACGCAGGUUAUCGAUAAAUAUGUCUGCUUUAUUGCCGGAGACGGAUAGUGAAGAUGAACUUGCACCAGGAUGGGAGGAGAGAGCAACUUUAGAUGGGAAAGUUUAUUAUGCUAAUCAUGAAAGUAAGACAACACAGUGGACACAUCCAAGAACAGGAAAAAAGAAGAGAGUAGCAGGAGAACUUCCAUAUGGAUGGGAGAAAAAGAUUACUGAAGAUGGACAUGUAUUUUAUGUAGAUCACAUAAACAAAAAGACGACAUACACCGAUCCUCGUCUAGCAUUUGCUGUUGAAGAAAAAGAAUCUUCGGAUGAUAUUCGCCAGAGAUUUGAUGCUAGUACAAAUGCUCUGCAAAUUCUCCAUGGACGUGAUUUGAGUGGAAAAAUUGUCAUAGUAACAGGAUCUAAUUGCGGAAUAGGGUUUGAAACGGCUAGAUCUUUAUCUUUUCAUGGAGCCGAAGUGAUCAUGGCAACCCGCAGCAAAGAAAAGACGGAGUGUGCAAUUUCGACCAUUAAACAGGAAAGGCCUCAUGCAAAGUUAGAAUGGAUUCAUUUAGACCUUUCAUCCUUAAGAAGUGUAGAAAAAUUUGUGGAAGAUUUUCGAUCACGUUACAGUGCUCUUCAUAUAUUGAUACUGAAUGCGGGCGUAUUUAGUCCUCCUUUCACUCUCACCGAAGAUAACUUUGAGAGCACCUUUCAAAUUAACCAUCUUAGCCAUUUUUAUUUGACCAAGCUUCUAGAACCCGAAAUGAUUCAAGCCGGUUCCUGUAGAGUCGUAGUGGUGUCCUCCGAAAGUCACAGAUUUAGUUACCUAACUAAGGAAAACUUGUCUGAAGAGAAACUUUCUCCUACAGUUUAUAAAAAUUACGUGGGUCUAAGAGCUUACAACAACUCAAAAUUGUGUAAUGUCUUGUUUAGUAACGAAUUGAAUAGAAGAUUGUCACCCAAAGGCAUAUAUUGUAAUUCGCUUCACCCAGGAAAUAUGGUCAGCAGCUAUCUUUCGAGACAGUGGUGGCUCUACAGACUGCUUUUUGCACUCGUUAGACCGUUCACCAAAUCUCUGCAACAGGCAGCUUCUACAAGUAUAUACUGUGCCACGGUACCCGAAUUAGAAGGCGUCGGAGGAAUGUACUUUAACAACUGUUGCAGAUGUCAGCCAUCCGCAGCUACCGAAGACAAAGAACUGGCUGAAUUGCUGUGGAACAUGAGCGAAGCAAUGAUCAAAAAAGCCCUAGAAAGUCAUUGACAUUGUUACUAUAGUGUACACAAGUUUCAAAGCAGAUGCAUGUCUAAUGCCAUGAUGAUAUAAAGAAUUUAUCUAUUGGAAUAUUCUGUUCUGCAACAGAUUCCUAUAAACUUGGCAUAUACCAGUGAUACUCUGUCUGCUGUACAGAUGCCUUUGCUUUCUACAACAAAACAACUAUAGCAGAUAAUAUCAGUCAAUGCCUCCAGGCAGCUAUUUUUUAUCUGAUACCCACAAACUCCAUUCGGGCAGAAAAACAUUUUUGUCUAGCAUUUUAAGUAAUGUCCUUGGAUUGUAAAUGAAUAAAUUGUUUAUUUUUUGCAAUCUAAAAACAUUAGUAAUAGCAGUUACUAUCAGUUCAAGUACAGUGGCAGACAAAAAUAUAAAGAGAAGUCUGGUGAUUAGCACAAAAAACAAAUGGGGUCCCUGUUCCAGUCAGCUCAACACACCUUUUGUUAUCACUAUAUUUUUGUCAAGAAACAAGUACAGAGGAGCACAAGCACUAAUGAUUAUCUUUUCCUUUCAAAAUACAGCAUUAAGGAAGAAUGUCAAUUGCUAAAAUGGUGCCUAUUUCUUGUUUUGGAUUUAAUGUACAAAUUUAUAAC